Molecule: ribosomal RNA, 467 nt
Filed under: uncultured bacterium
Lineage: Bacteria
Description: partial 16S ribosomal RNA
Rfam family: Bacterial small subunit ribosomal RNA
Source: RNAcentral
GGUGAACGCUGGCGGCGUGCCUAAGACAUGCAAGUCGAGCGGGGCAGGUUUAUACCUGUUCAGCGGCGGACGGGGGAGUACCGCGUGGGUGACCUACCCGGAAGAGGCGGACAACCUGGGGAAACCCAGGCUAAUCCGCCAUGUGGUCCUGUCCUGUGGGGCAGGACUAAAGGGGCGACCCGCUUCCGGAUGGGCCCGCGUCCCAUCAGCUAGUUGGUGGGGUAAAGGCCCACCAAGGCGACGACGGGUAGCCGGUCUGAGAGGAUGGCCGGCCACAGGCGCACUGAGACACGGGCCCCACUCCUACGGGAGGCAGCAGUUAGGUAUCUUCCGCAAUGGACGGAAGUCUGACGGAGCGACGCCGCUUGGAGGAGGAAGCCCUUCGGGGUGUAAACUCCUGAACUGGGGACGAAAGCCCCGUGUAGGGGGAUGACGGUACCCAGGUAAUAGCGCCGGCCAACUCCGUG